Long non-coding RNA from Oryctolagus cuniculus (rabbit), 1069 nucleotides. The record is from Ensembl. NCBI's taxonomy places the organism in Eukaryota, Metazoa, Chordata, Mammalia, Lagomorpha, Leporidae.
AUGGCGCAGGCGCCAGCCAAUUUGUCUCCAGUAGACCUUGUCGUUGUUCAAGCAGUGCAGGCACGCCGUGGGGUUGCCCGCAAAGACACAGGAGAACUCGUGGUGCAGUCGAACACAAUGGGCCUGCAGAUGGACUCCUGCCUCCUGCCUGGUCACGGUCACAUUGCAUUUGGCCUGGUCUCUGCUCACAAAGCUGCCAGUGACAAUGACCUGGGUUGGCGGGCUUGUGGACACUAUCACGGGCUUCUCCAGAGGAACCCACCCAUCCUGCUCUGCCUCCAAAUUCAUGUCAUCCUCUUCUCCACUUUGGGCCUCUGUCAGGAGCCCCUGAGCAGCCAGCAGGAGGACGGAGAGCAGGUGUGGAGCAAGUGGUCUACUUCCUUCCCAGGAACAUCAGUUACUGCAGAGAUUACUAGAUUCAAUCCACACUGGGAGGAAGAAGAGAAGUCCAAUUCUAUCAGACACCUACUGCACGCUGAGCACUGGUCCAGCGUUCCAGUCUCACCUUGUUUAAUCCACAGAAAACCCCGCAACCAGGCUGAUUACAGGAACAGCCCCAAGAAGGAGUCCUGGCAGUGAGGCCCGGCCAGUCACCCCUGCUCUGCACUGCUCACCUAACUUUGAGACAAUGCUGGCAAAAGGAAGACAACUGUGAACCAAGCAGGAGUUAGCACUGAUAAGUUGAUUCACGUAAGCUGAGAUCUUUUCCCAAAAUGAAAGAAUUGUGGGGCUCGUGCAGUUGCGCAAUGGGUUAAUCCUCCUCUUGUGGCGCCAGCAUCCCAUGUGGCACCGAUUCUAGUCCCGGCUGCUCCUUUUCCAAUCCAGCUCUCUGCUGUGGCCUGGGAAAGCAGUUUAAGAUGGCCCAAGUACUUGCGCCCCUGUACCCAGGUGGGAGAACAGGAAGGAGAACCUGGCUCCUGGCUUCAGAUCAGCGCAGUUCUAGCACUUGAACCAUUGGGGGAGCGAACCAACGGAAGGAAGACUUUUCUCUCUGUGUCUGCCUCUCACUAUCUGUAACUCUACCUGUCAGAUAAAUAAAUAAAAUCUUAAAAAAAGAUGGAAAUUUGUU